GUGAUAGAGGCGCGGACUUUAUCAGUAACCCGGAUCAGGCGCGGAAACGCCGCGGGUGAAAGGAAAUUCCGCCGAAGCUUAUGCCGGAUUUCCGUUCGGCGUUUGCUGGGACAGCGCACAAUAUGCGCUGUACUGUCGCUUUUGCGGAGUGCUAUUCG
RNAcentral lists this non-coding RNA (158 nucleotides) under uncultured Ruminococcus sp. RNAcentral's name for it is "Lysine riboswitch". It matches the Rfam family "Lysine riboswitch aptamer". Rfam says of the family: Riboswitches are metabolite binding domains within certain messenger RNAs that serve as precision sensors for their corresponding targets. Allosteric rearrangement of mRNA structure is mediated by ligand binding, and this results in modulation of gene expression. Lineage: Bacteria; Bacillati; Bacillota; Clostridia; Eubacteriales; Oscillospiraceae. The record is from RNAcentral.